This 252-nucleotide ribosomal RNA is filed under the name uncultured bacterium. Its description in RNAcentral is "partial 16S ribosomal RNA". It matches the Rfam family "Bacterial small subunit ribosomal RNA", at positions 525 to 776 of the family's 1533-position model. The record is from RNAcentral.
ACGGAGGAUCCAAGCGUUAUCCGGAAUCAUUGGGUUUAAAGGGUCCGUAGGCGGGCAGCUAAGUCAGUGGUGAAAGUCUGCAGCUCAACUGUAGAAUUGCCAUUGAAACUGGUUGUCUUGAAUUAAUGUGAAGUGGUUAGAAUAAGUAGUGUAGCGGUGAAAUGCAUAGAUAUUACUUAGAAUACCGAUUGCGAAGGCAGAUCACUAACAUUAUAUUGACGCUGAGGGACGAAAGCGUGGGGAGCGAACAGG